This is a long non-coding RNA of Cyprinus carpio carpio, 1059 nucleotides long. The record is from Ensembl. Lineage: Eukaryota; Metazoa; Chordata; Actinopteri; Cypriniformes; Cyprinidae.
CUUGUGGCUCAUCUAAUCAAAAUUUAGAGAACUUUGUAUUUUAGAAUCUGCAUUUGAGUUCUAUUAUUGUUGCACUGAACUUUAGAGCAAAACCUACUGGUUUCACAUUAUUUUCAAAACUCUUUGUCAAAUGCCAGGCUUUGACAUUUGGUAUUUGCAUUAAAUAUGCGUUGUGGUUUUUCUGCACCCACAGGGUCCCGGGGUCUCUUCCUGAUUGGACUGGACUUUACGGCUGCUGGGACUUUUGCUUAAAACUCUUAACAAACAGAGCUGCCUGGCUCAGGGCUGGCCCCCAGCUGGACGCUCUAGACUGGUCCUCGGGGACACAGAAGGACUCUGUUCGAAUCCGUAUCGAUCCGUGAUGCUGAUGAAAGAACCCACUGGUCACCUUGAGCCCUGUGUAUCCCGCGGCAACACUGCAGCCCACCCGUGUCACUUUAGUCAGACCAUGAGGCUCCGGGGCACGAGAGGAAAAAGCAGAUGCAUUGUCAGAAGAGGCACAAAAUGCAACAAAUCCCCCCUCACUGCUAACCGUGAUCUUCCUGACACUCUGAGACAGGCGGCCCAGCUGGGACUCUACCCAGGAUCGCGUCUCUUUCAUGGGCAAACGCUGUUUCACCUGCUCCCCCUCCCAUCACAAAUCCCACAAUCCUCCCCCCGUCUCCCCAGCCCCUCCAACCGUCCCAGCUGAGCUUUGCUAAUCAGUAUAGCGACGAGAGACAAGACUUGGUUAAUUCGGCCAAUUAGGCCCGAGCGUUGUUUGUGGCCAGCGACAUUUUGUAUUCGUGAAAAUGUGUGGAGUGCAAAACGUGCCCUGGAGCAACGAGAUGAUAGUGCCGUGGCUACAGCCACAUGUCAACAAAACACAUACAGGCUGAAGGGGCGAUCCUGCUUUAUGGAGUGUGUGUGUGUGUGUGUGUGUGUGUGUGUGAGAGAGAGAGACAGAGAGUACACUUGAAUACAUGCAUGUGCUUUCAGAGUGGAUUGUGAUUUUUACAAUAUAAACUAUCUGUAAAAAGUUUGGAAUAAUUUGUUUUAUAUAUAUAUAUAUAUAUAUAU